UAGCGGUUCCCUGUACUCGAAAUCCGCUUUAUGCGAGACUUAAUUCCUUUGUUGAGGGCGUAUUUUUGUGAAGUCUGCCCGAAGCACGUAGUGUUUGAAGAUUUCGGUCCUAUGCAAUAUGAACCCAUGAACCAUGUCAGGUCCUGACGGAAGCAGCAUUAAGUGGAUCCUCAUAUGUGCCGUAGGGUAGCCGAGAUUUAGCU
This 203-nucleotide signal recognition particle RNA is filed under the name Anophryoides haemophila. RNAcentral describes it as "partial Bacterial large signal recognition particle RNA". It matches the Rfam family "Bacterial large signal recognition particle RNA", at positions 19 to 214 of the family's 256-position model. Rfam says of the family: The signal recognition particle (SRP) is a universally conserved ribonucleoprotein involved in the co-translational targeting of proteins to membranes. Lineage: Eukaryota; Ciliophora; Oligohymenophorea; Philasterida; Glauconematidae. The record is from RNAcentral.